This 253-nucleotide ribosomal RNA is filed under the name uncultured bacterium. RNAcentral describes it as "partial 16S ribosomal RNA". It matches the Rfam family "Bacterial small subunit ribosomal RNA", at positions 524 to 776 of the family's 1533-position model. The record is from RNAcentral.
UACAGAGGUCCCAAGCGUUGUUCGGAUUCAUUGGGCGUAAAGGGUGCGUAGGUGGCGCUGUAAGUCGGGUGUGAAAUUUCGGAGCUUAACUCCGAAACUGCAUUCGAUACUGCGGUGCUCGAGGACUGGAGAGGAGACUGGAAUUCAUGGUGUAGCAGUGAAAUGCGUAGAGAUCAUGAGGAAGACCAGUGGCGAAGGCGGGUCUCUGGACAGUUCCUGACGCUGAGGCACGAAGGCCAGGGGAGCAAACGGG